This is a long non-coding RNA of Lolium rigidum, 2148 nucleotides long. RefSeq lists it as uncharacterized. NCBI's taxonomy places the organism in Eukaryota, Viridiplantae, Streptophyta, Magnoliopsida, Poales, Poaceae. The transcript is spliced from 6 exons. The record is from RefSeq and is a predicted model, not a curated record.
GCCAGCUCCCAAUCCCGUCGCCCCCUCCUCCUCCACAAUCCCCUGCAGCGCCUCCUCCUCCAAUCCUCCCGUUCAUCCUCCCCCAAUCUUCUUCCAAUGGCAGCCGGCCCCAAUCCCGCGUCCCUCUCUCUCCCUAUCCCCGCCCUCUCACGUUUCCCCCAAUCCCCUUCCUGUGGUCCACCUCCUCUUCUCCUCCACCGGGGCGCUCCGCCUCCUCUUCUCGCUGCUACACGUCUCCCUCCUGCUCGCUGCUCACACCUCCUACCGUUGAGCGCUGGCGCGAGGCUGCGACGGGAUACCGUGCAGAAUGAGUGCGGUGAGCGAGUCGUGCAGUGAGGCGGAGGGCGGAAGUGGCGCCAUGGAUGGACGAGCCAGAGGUAGUUGAAGAUGGCCACCUGGUGGCAGAGAUGGCCGCCUCGCAGACCCGACGACGGGGCGCAGUUGGGCCUGCAGCGGCAAAGGACUGCCACGUCCAAUCUCAUAUGGAACACAGGCUUGCUCCGCCCUUGCCUCAUGUGGUUGUCUUGAUGGAAGAGUAGUACAUCCUGCAGCUUGCGCCACCACUGCGUGCCGUGCCCUCGCCAGGAGGAGCAGCUGGUAGCCCGCGUCCAUCCCAGCUUGCACGGGGCCGCCUAUAUCGCUUGCCCCUCUUCUUGGUGCGCGGUGGCUGGCUGGUCAGACGUUGUGUGGGCUGAGAUGAACACCACUGGAUUCAAUGUUGAUUGAGUGGCUUGGGAAGGGGAGUAAGACCGUGGCUUGCGAGGUAAAAGGCUAGAGAAACGUUGUUGUUGAGGCUGCUCCCAGAGCAGAGAUCUUCAAUGGCGAUGUAGGGGAAUUCCAGUGCCCACACAAGUUCCUCCAUUUGGCGAUAUUAGACGAUGAUAUCAAUAUUUAUGUUACUGGGAGCGAGUGACCAAUCGGCAGAAUGUUUAGCUCAUGGAGCUAUCAUCCGAUGAUGCAGGUGGCACGCGGAAAACCGUUGUUUCAGAUUAUCCAUUGUUUCUGUAGUCCAUGGUGCUGAAGGAGUACCCUGAUGCACCCACAGUUGCGUAGAAAUGUGGAUUCGUCGAGUGGAUCUCCAUGAAAGCAGGUUUGCAGAUACUCAGAUAGGGAAUUAUGCACACACACGCACACUUGGUAAGUUAAGUCUCAUAACAUAUAUCAUUUCAUAUAUUUCCUCUUCCGGCCUUUUUUUAGAUUCAUUUCCACGCGCUUCGGGGUGUUGCAAUAUUGGGUGAAUGUUACUGGUAGACGCGGACGCGGCCUGUAGCCAUUCCAGUUACUUGCUUUUGUUUUCCUAUGUGUACUUCCUUUUACUCAAGAGAGUUCUUUAUAAUUAUCAUUUAGAGAAGAGUUAUUGCUUAUAGAAGGAUAGAAUAUAAGUUCCUUGAUGGACUAUGCUCUCUAUUAUUUGUUGAAGUGGGAUCUGAAUGUUAGAGUAUAUGAUGCAUUUCUAUUCUUUAAUUUUACUAUCUUUCUUUCUGUCAUAUCCAAUACUGUGAAUGCUCUGUUUCAGGACCUCAAGAGGAAGUUGUUUGCAUUGCAAUUCAAAUGGAUCUUGUUCAGCUUAGUAUUUGGAUUAUCAUUAUCAUUUACCACUGAAUUUUUUUUUUAUUUCACAAAUUUCAUCAGCGUGUGUACUGAAGAUUUUCUCUUUUUGUUCAUACGUUCAGAAAAGUACAGCUUAGCCUUGCAUGACACACAGAUUAUUGGAUUAGACAUAAACUGAAUUUAUUAUACUUGUCUCGGGCUCCUACCAUUUGACCAAUUACUUGCAGCUUCCUUGUUCUCAUAUUCUUAUUUUUCAAGUGUAUCCUGGGGAGUGACAUUCUCCCCUUCUAAAGAUCCAUGUUUAUUACUUGAUUGGGUUGCAUUGAAAUAAUUAUUAUGCAGUUCUUACUUCUUAGACACAGAAUAUAUUAUUUAAAUUCAAUUGGUGCAUUUUAGUAACUUGUGCAAAUUAUUUUAGGGGUCCAUGCGGUUAUCUUAUGAUCGUUGUUGUUGUAAGUGGCUUUGUGAGAAAAUAUAUAUAUAUAUAAUAGGGGCGCUGUUAUUUUCCUGCCCUAAACGCUUCUUGAGGGUGUUUGCUUGUUUGCUACAGAUUAAAUAUUUGGAUAGCUUCAAACAUUUUGUAUGCUUACUACAUUG